UGAAACAUCUUCGGGUUGUGAGGUUAAGCGACUAAGCGUACACGGUGGAUGCCCUGGCAGUCAGAGGCGAUGAAGGACGUGCUAAUCUGCGAUAAGCGUCGGUAAGGUGAUAUGAACCGUUAUAACCGGCGAUUUCCGAAUGGGGAAACCCAGUGUGUUUCGACACACUAUCAUUAACUGAAUCCAUAGGUUAAUGAGGCGAACCGGGGGAACUGAAACAUCUAAGUACCCCGAGGAAAAGAAAUCAACCGAGAUUCCCCCAGUAGCGGCGAGCGAACGGGGAGCAGCCCAGAGCCUGAAUCAGUGUGUGUGUUAGUGGAAGCGUCUGGAAAGGCGCGCGAUACAGGGUGACAGCCCCGUACACAAAAAUGCACAUGCUGUGAGCUCGAUGAGUAGGGCGGGACACGUGGUAUCCUGUCUGAAUAUGGGGGGACCAUCCUCCAAGGCUAAAUACUCCUGACUGACCGAUAGUGAACCAGUACCGUGAGGGAAAGGCGAAAAGAACCCCGGCGAGGGGAGUGAAAAAGAACCUGAAACCGUGUACGUACAAGCAGUGGGAGCACGCUUAGGUGUGUGACUGCGUACCUUUUGUAUAAUGGGUCAGCGACUUAUAUUCUGUAGCAAGGUUAACCGAAUAGGGGAGCCGAAGGGAAACCGAGUCUUAACUGGGCGUUAAGUUGCAGGGUAUAGACCCGAAACCCGGUGAUCUAGCCAUGGGCAGGUUGAAGGUUGGGUAACACUAACUGGAGGACCGAACCGACUAAUGUUGAAAAAUUAGCGGAUGACUUGUGGCUGGGGGUGAAAGGCCAAUCAAACCGGGAGAUAGCUGGUUCUCCCCGAAAGCUAUUUAGGUAGCGCCUCGUGAAUUCAUCUCCGGGGGUAGAGCACUGUUUCGGCAAGGGGGUCAUCCCGACUUACCAACCCGAUGCAAACUGCGAAUACCGGAGAAUGUUAUCACGGGAGACACACGGCGGGUGCUAACGUCCGUCGUGAAGAGGGAAACAACCCAGACCGCCAGCUAAGGUCCCAAAGUCAUGGUUAAGUGGGAAACGAUGUGGGAAGGCCCAGACAGCCAGGAUGUUGGCUUAGAAGCAGCCAUCAUUUAAAGAAAGCGUAAUAGCUCACUGGUCGAGUCGGCCUGCGCGGAAGAUGUAACGGGGCUAAACCAUGCACCGAAGCUGCGGCAGCGACACUAUGUGUUGUUGGGUAGGGGAGCGUUCUGUAAGCCUGCGAAGGUGUACUGUGAGGUAUGCUGGAGGUAUCAGAAGUGCGAAUGCUGACAUAAGUAACGAUAAAGCGGGUGAAAAGCCCGCUCGCCGGAAGACCAAGGGUUCCUGUCCAACGUUAAUCGGGGCAGGGUGAGUCGACCCCUAAGGCGAGGCCGAAAGGCGUAGUCGAUGGGAAACAGGUUAAUAUUCCUGUACUUGGUGUUACUGCGAAGGGGGGACGGAGAAGGCUAUGUUGGCCGGGCGACGGUUGUCCCGGUUUAAGCGUGUAGGCUGGUUUUCCAGGCAAAUCCGGAAAAUCAAGGCUGAGGCGUGAUGACGAGGCACUACGGUGCUGAAGCAACAAAUGCCCUGCUUCCAGGAAAAGCCUCUAAGCAUCAGGUAACAUCAAAUCGUACCCCAAACCGACACAGGUGGUCAGGUAGAGAAUACCAAGGCGCUUGAGAGAACUCGGGUGAAGGAACUAGGCAAAAUGGUGCCGUAACUUCGGGAGAAGGCACGCUGAUAUGUAGGUGAAGUCCCUCGCGGAUGGAGCUGAAAUCAGUCGAAGAUACCAGCUGGCUGCAACUGUUUAUUAAAAACACAGCACUGUGCAAACACGAAAGUGGACGUAUACGGUGUGACGCCUGCCCGGUGCCGGAAGGUUAAUUGAUGGGGUCAGCGCAAGCGAAGCUCUUGAUCGAAGCCCCGGUAAACGGCGGCCGUAACUAUAACGGUCCUAAGGUAGCGAAAUUCCUUGUCGGGUAAGUUCCGACCUGCACGAAUGGCGUAAUGAUGGCCAGGCUGUCUCCACCCGAGACUCAGUGAAAUUGAACUCGCUGUGAAGAUGCAGUGUACCCGCGGCAAGACGGAAAGACCCCGUGAACCUUUACUAUAGCUUGACACUGAACAUUGAGCCUUGAUGUGUAGGAUAGGUGGGAGGCUUAGAAGUGUGGACGCCAGUCUGCAUGGAGCCGACCUUGAAAUACCACCCUUUAAUGUUUGAUGUUCUAACGUUGACCCGUAAUCCGGGUUGCGGACAGUGUCUGGUGGGUAGUUUGACUGGGGCGGUCUCCUCCUAAAGAGUAACGGAGGAGCACGAAGGUUGGCUAAUCCUGGUCGGACAUCAGGAGGUUAGUGCAAUGGCAUAAGCCAGCUUGACUGCGAGCGUGACGGCGCGAGCAGGUGCGAAAGCAGGUCAUAGUGAUCCGGUGGUUCUGAAUGGAAGGGCCAUCGCUCAACGGAUAAAAGGUACUCCGGGGAUAACAGGCUGAUACCGCCCAAGAGUUCAUAUCGACGGCGGUGUUUGGCACCUCGAUGUCGGCUCAUCACAUCCUGGGGCUGAAGUAGGUCCCAAGGGUAUGGCUGUUCGCCAUUUAAAGUGGUACGCGAGCUGGGUUUAGAACGUCGUGAGACAGUUCGGUCCCUAUCUGCCGUGGGCGCUGGAGAACUGAGGGGGGCUGCUCCUAGUACGAGAGGACCGGAGUGGACGCAUCACUGGUGUUCGGGUUGUCAUGCCAAUGGCACUGCCCGGUAGCUAAAUGCGGAAGAGAUAAGUGCUGAAAGCAUCUAAGCACGAAACUUGCCCCGAGAUGAGUUCUCCCUGACCCUUUAAGGGUCCUGAAGGAACGUUGAAGACGACGACGUUGAUAGGCCGGGUGUGUAAGCGCAGCGAUGCGUUGAGCUAACCGGUACUAAUGAACCGUGAGGCUUAACCUU
This 2924-nucleotide ribosomal RNA is filed under the name Escherichia coli 53638. RNAcentral's name for it is "bacterial LSU rRNA". It matches the Rfam family "Bacterial large subunit ribosomal RNA". Lineage: Bacteria; Pseudomonadati; Pseudomonadota; Gammaproteobacteria; Enterobacterales; Enterobacteriaceae. The record is from RNAcentral.